AACGAACGCUGGCGGCAUGCCUAACACAUGCAAGUCGAACGAGACCUUCGGGUCUAGUGGCGCACGGGUGCGUAACGCGUGGGAACCUGCCCUUAGGUUCGGAAUAACUCCCCGAAAGGGGUGCUAAUACCGGAUAAUGUCUUCGGACCAAAGAUUUAUCGCCUUUGGAUGGGCCCGCGUUGGAUUAGCUAGUCGGUAGGGUAAAAGCCUACCAAGGCGACGAUCCAUAGCUGGUCUGAGAGGAUGAUCAGCCACACUGGGACUGAGACACGGCCCAGACUCCUACGGGAGGGAGCAGUGGGGAAUAUUGGACAAUGGGCGAAAGCCUGAUCCAGCAAUGCCGCGUGAGUGAUGAAGGCCUUAGGGUUGUAAAGCUCUUUUACCCGGGAUGAUAAUGACAGUACCGGGAGAAUAAGCUCCGGCUAACUCCGU
This 432-nucleotide ribosomal RNA is filed under the name uncultured bacterium. RNAcentral describes it as "partial 16S ribosomal RNA". It matches the Rfam family "Bacterial small subunit ribosomal RNA", at positions 29 to 506 of the family's 1533-position model. The record is from RNAcentral.